Molecule: ribosomal RNA, 259 nt
Filed under: uncultured bacterium
Lineage: Bacteria
Description: partial 16S ribosomal RNA
Rfam family: Bacterial small subunit ribosomal RNA
Source: RNAcentral
GUCCACGCCGUAAACGAUGAUCACUCGCUGUUAGCGAUACACAGUUAGCGGCUAAGCAAAAGCAUUAAGUGAUCCACCUGGGGAGUACGGCCGCAAGGCUGAAACUCAAAGGAAUUGACGGGGGCCCGCACAAGCGGAGGAACAUGUGGUUUAAUUCGAUGAUACGCGAGGAACCUUACCUGGGCUUAAAUGUAGAGUGCAUGAGAUGGAAACAUUUCUUUCCUUCGGGACUCUUUGCAAGGUGCUGCAUGGUUGUCGU